AUGCGAGAAUAUAUUAAAUACCGAGGAGCCAAGAUUAUUGAUCUCAGCCAGGUGACAGGCCCCAAGGCCACGCAGGAGGAGAAGUGGAUCAAUUACGUUAAUGUGAUCAACUUCAUCAAGCCUUGGAGGGCAGCCGGGAAACCUUUCGGUCAGUGUCUUCGUGUGCCUUUUGACAUUUAAUUGACGUUUUUUUCAGCGAGAGUUCAGCUGGGGUUUCAAAAGACUUUUUCAGAUGUGCCUUUGUUUUAAAAAUUUUUGCUAUUCUAACAUGGGAACAUGUUUAAUCUUACUAUCCUGUCAUCGUGUUUUCAGCUGCAUUUGGGUUUUUUAAAAAAUAAUUUGGGGAGCCGUCCCUGGGUCUCCGCACAGCAAGAAAGACAGGACAAGACAUGGGGGGUGGGCAGAACUGUAGGAGCUAAAGGGUUUGUUUAGCUUCAAGGGGCACAAAAAAUAGAAGAAGCUGCCUGGUACGAGGACAGAACCUUGACCCGUGUAGUCAAAUAUUACCAACUCUUGAAGGCCAGCAGUGCGUUCCUUCCCAGCCUACCUGGAGAUCCCUACUAUUCUUGGAUAUUAUUUUCUUUCUGGCCGUCUGUUUGGGACCUUGUUGCUUACGAGUCGCAAUAACUCUCUCUGGUCUCCCGCAGUGUGUGACCGACUCUGGUUGUGGACCAGCUAAAGGAGGAAAAGAGAAAGAAAGAAAAAAAGAGAGGAGGAGGAAAACAAGGACAGCCCGUGAGAUCUUGGUACUUUAAUUAAACUUGACCGCACCCAGGAAAGGACACGUCAACUGUCGGUUCUCUGCUUUUUUUGGGGGGGGGACAAAAACAAGGGCCCUGCUGGGGGGAAAAGAAAUGGCUCCUUCUCAACCAAGGGAUGGCAAAGCUGAGGGUUAAAAACCAGCCAGGCUCCCCAUUCAGCAAAGAGUAAACAUGUCCUUGCUUUUUUUCUCCAGUGUUUUGCAA
This 965-nucleotide long non-coding RNA is filed under the name Pogona vitticeps (central bearded dragon). Its description in RNAcentral is "lncRNA (ENSPVIG00000007385.1)". The record is from RNAcentral. Lineage: Eukaryota; Metazoa; Chordata; Lepidosauria; Squamata; Agamidae.